CUAAGAGCGCGCAGCUGGGGUUGGGCUUAACUGUGUCUGUACUACACCAUUUUAUUAAGAGGCCUCUUCCUCUUAGCGGAUGAUUCUGCGUCUUACGCCUUUCUCCAGGAUUCUGGUGGGGAUUUAGGCUCCCGCUUGUGGACAGCAAUCAUUUCAGGACUGGAUUUCAGAGCCCCUGGGUACCUCGCACUGAACACCUCCCAGGAAUGAAAAAAUUGCAUGUGAUGGGACCCUAGGGAGCAGAGAUUGAAAAGAAAACAUGGAUCUGUAACACAAGUCUCCUUCCCUGAAAUCAGUGGGAAGAACAGAAUGUAACUGCUUGGCUGGAAGAGCUGUGACAUGAUCGUCUCCCCACAGAGAGAGGUCUGGUUACUGUAAAGUGACCAAAGUGCCGUCUGUGGAGAAACAGCUUAUGAAAAACUCCUCUCUAAACAAAGACUCAGACCGGAGUCCUGUGCCUUGAUUAGAAAGCCACCUCAUAAAAUUCCCCAAAGUUAUUUUUUCUCUACAAAGAUUGUGAAUUAACCUUUUGUUGUUUCCUAGGGGUGAAGAAAAAAAUGAAACAUUUUACUAAAGGUGAUUGAAAAUAAGAGUGACAAGGAAAAAGGAAAACUCUAGUUUGCGUGAAAGGAUAAAAAGAUAAUGCUAACUAAAUGCAUUGCAUCAUCUCAUCUUUAAAGCCAUGCCAGGUACACUGGCAAAGUAGGAAUAGUUAGGUGAUUGGGACUUCGCAGAAAUCAUGGAAAGUGAUAGCUUAGAACCCUUGUACCCUUGUUCAUAAACCAAAACUCUCCCUGCUAUAUCUGUUAAGGACCCUCGAUUACAUUAUUAUACUAUUUAAAACAUUUUUUAAGUUAUAUCUUUAAAAAAGGUGAUAUUUGUCAUUAAAGCUAAAAGGCAAAAGGAGUCAUUUGAAAUAGACAACAGUCUUCAGGAAGAUGCCGAGAAGAGAAAGGAGCAUCAGACUUUGUGUUCCAGCCUUCCUGAGGAACCAGAUUUAUUUCUCCUUGGGUAACGAUUAAGAAGUAUAAAAGAAUUGCACAACAUUUACCUUUUCUGCCUUCACUUAAAUUAUACUGAUAUACUGGCCACAAAUCACCAGCAAUUAAAAAAACAGGAGUCUGCCAGGAGUCAGUUGUUGGGGUAGAGAACACAUGCUACAACCAGUUGGAGAAGGCAGGGCAAGAUUGAGAAGGCAAGCCAGAAUCAGAGACCAGCCGUCAAUAUGGAAAUUUCUAAGCUGCCUAAGGAUGAAAACAAAGACCAAAAAAGGAACCAGCUGAAGCAAGAAGCAAAAGGUGGUGGUGGAAGAAUUAUUGAAUUAUUUCUAGAUAAUAUUUUAAGAUAUAGAAUCAUCUUUUUA
Molecule: long non-coding RNA, 1363 nt
Organism: Pteropus alecto (black flying fox)
Lineage: Eukaryota; Metazoa; Chordata; Mammalia; Chiroptera; Pteropodidae
Exons: 3
Source: RefSeq, a predicted model, not a curated record